GCACCAGUUCCAAAUAGCUAUGAUAGAAUACAACCCAACACAUGGAGUGGAGCAUACCAGUGCUGGGGAAAAGAAAACAGGGAAGCUCCAAUAAGAACUGCUUGCCCACCUGGGAUAAAAGAUGGUCUUGUUAGCAACUUUGAAAUUAAAUCUUUCGAUGGAUGUGCAAAUCCAUACUUGGGAUUGGCGGCUAUACUUGCAGCGGGC
RNAcentral lists this unclassified non-coding RNA (207 nucleotides) under Hevea brasiliensis (rubber tree). Lineage: Eukaryota; Viridiplantae; Streptophyta; Magnoliopsida; Malpighiales; Euphorbiaceae. The record is from RNAcentral.